UAGGGAAUCUUCCGCAAUGGACGCAAGCCUGACGGAGCAACGCCGCGUGAGUGAAGAAGGACUUCGGUUCGUAAAACUCUGUUGUUAGAGAAGAACAGCGCAUAGAGUAACUGUUAUGCGUGUGACGGUAUCUAACCAGAAAGCCACGGCUAACUACGUGCCAGCAGCCGCGGUAAUACGUAGGUGGCAAGCGUUGUCCGGAUUUAUUGGGCGUAAAGCGAGCGCAGGCGGUCAAUUAAGUCUGAUGUGAAAGCCCCCGGCUCAACCGGGGAAUGUCAUUGGAAACUGGUUGACUUGAGUGCAGAAGAGGAGAGUGGAAUUCCAUGUGUAGCGGUGAAAUGCGUAGAUAUAUGGAGGAACACCAGUGGCGAAGGCGACUCUCUGGUCUGUAACUGACGCUGAGGUUCGAAAGCGUGGGUAGCAAACAGG
This 429-nucleotide ribosomal RNA is filed under the name Bacteroidota bacterium. RNAcentral describes it as "Bacteroidetes bacterium partial 16S ribosomal RNA". It matches the Rfam family "Bacterial small subunit ribosomal RNA", at positions 355 to 776 of the family's 1533-position model. Lineage: Bacteria; Pseudomonadati; Bacteroidota. The record is from RNAcentral.